RNAcentral lists this ribosomal RNA (464 nucleotides) under uncultured bacterium. RNAcentral's name for it is "bacterial SSU rRNA". It matches the Rfam family "Bacterial small subunit ribosomal RNA", at positions 330 to 792 of the family's 1533-position model. The record is from RNAcentral.
CCCAGACUCCUACGGGAGGCAGCAGUGAGGAAUAUUGGUCAAUGGCCGAGAGGCUGAACCAGCCAAGUCGCGUGAGGGAAGACGGCCCUACGGGUUGUAAACCUCUUUUGUCGGGGAGCAAAGCGAGCCACGUGUGGUUCAUUGAGAGUACCCGAAGAAAAAGCAUCGGCUAACUCCGUGCCAGCAGCCGCGGUAAUACGGAGGAUGCGAGCGUUAUCCGGAUUUAUUGGGUUUAAAGGGUGCGCAGGCGGAGGUGCAGGUCAGUGGUCAAAUUGCGGGGCUCAACCUCUUCGAGCCGUUGAAACUGGUUUUCUUGAGUGAGCGAGAAGUAUGCGGAAUGCGUGGUGUAGCGGUGAAAUGCAUAGAUAUCACGCAGAACUCCGAUUGCGAAGGCAGCAUACCGGCGCUCAACUGACGCUCAUGCACGAAAGUGUGGGUAUCGAACAGGAUUAGAUACCCCGGUA